This is a long non-coding RNA of Gasterosteus aculeatus aculeatus (three-spined stickleback), 2361 nucleotides long. The record is from Ensembl. Lineage: Eukaryota; Metazoa; Chordata; Actinopteri; Perciformes; Gasterosteidae.
GAGUCAAUGACAGCAGACAGGGCAACGUAGAGCAGACAGGAUCGUAGUCAGCGGGCAGGCAGGGGUCGGGGCAGGCAGAGAGCAAUCAACAGUACGGUCCGGGGUCACUAAACAGGGAUCAAGACUAGGAGAAAACGCUCAGAAAUGACAGCCGGGGCAGAAUCAGGACUUCGCAGUGAGUGUGUGGGUGUCAGUGGCUUUUGUGUGUGUGUCAAUGAGGUGCAGGUGUGUGUGUGUGUCAUCAGUGGUGUUGUGGAAUCAGUCCCAGGUGUGAAGCAUGAUGGGAGAUGGAGUUCGAAACCAGUUAGUACUCGGGAGAGGGGUCCCUCCGAUGGCGAGAGGGAGGCGGUGCGGGAGCGUCCUUCGUAACAGAGCCCCCCCCCUGUGAGCGGCUCCUGACGCGAAGAGAUACGCGGCGCCGAGGUCUUCCGCGGGAACGAGGGGCCGGCUUCUCCGGGUGUGCGCGAUGAAACUCCUCCGUGAGUGUGGGGCCAAGGAUGUCCUUAGCGUCGGCCCAGGAUCGCUCCUCCGGACCGAACCCCUCCCAGUCCACCAGAUAUUGGAGGGUCUUGCCCCGGCGUCUGGAGUCGAGCAGCUCAUGCACACGGUAAGCCUCCUCGCCGUCGACCAGGAUGGCGGGGGGAGGUUGUGACGUGGAUCUCUCCUCCCGCGCUCCUCUCGGGCCAUCGGCAGGUUUUAGCAGGGAGACAUGGAAUGUAGGGGAAAUACGGUAGUUGGCGGGUAGGUCUAAUCGAAAGGAUACAGGGGUAAUUUGCUUCUUAAUUUGAAAUGGACCCUCAUACCUGGGGCUGAGCUUGCGACAUGGGAGUCGAAGUCGGAGGUCUUUGGUGGAGAGCCAGACCCACUCUCCGGGACUGUACUGGGGACCAGGACGACGGCGACGGUUGGCCUGACCUUCCUGGCGUCUAACGGCGUGGAGGAGGUGAGUGUGGGCCUGGUUCCAAGUCUCCUCGCUUCUCUGCAACCACUCUGUAACGGAUGGUAGGUUAGUGGGCUCCCCUGACCACGGGAAUAGCGGUGGCUGAAAGCCCAAGACGCAUUGGAACGGGGUGAUGCCCGUGGCGGGUUUGACCAGCGAAUUCUGGGCGUAUUCGGCCCAGAAUAGAUAUCUGCUCCACUCCGUCUGUUGUCGCUGGCAGUAUGAGCGGAGGAAACGGAUAACGUCCUGGUUCAGACGCUCAGUCUGCCCAUUGGAUUGUGGGUGGUAACCGGAGGUGAGGCUGACGUUAACGUUGAGGCGUUGGAAGAAGGCGGACCAUACUCUGGAGGUGAAUUGGGGUCCCCGGUCUGACACUAUGUCCUCCGGUAGUCCGUAGAAACGGAAGACCUGGUUGCAGAGCAGUUCCGCAGUGGCUAGUGCUGUGGGAAGUUUGGGUAGUGGGACGAGUCGGCAGGCCUUGGAGAAUCGGUCUACGAUGGUGAGGAUGGUGGUAUGUCCCUGCGAUGCGGGUAGGUCGGUGAUGAAGUCUAUGGCAAUGUGGGACCAGGGUCGUUGGGGUAUGGGUAGUGGUGUUAGUAGGCCGGCUGGUAAUUGUCUGGGGGUUUUGGAGGUGGCGCAGUUUGCGCAGUUCUGCACGUGUCGGGUGGUGUCAGGAGUCAGAGUGGGCCACCAGAAGCGGUUCUUGAGGAGCUGAAUUGUGGCGGUGAUACCGGGGUGUCCGGAGCUUGGGGUCGAGUGCACCUGAUCGAGGAGUCGUGAACGUAGCGUCUCGGGGACAAAGAGGAGAUUUGCGGGACAUUCGGAGGGAGGUGCUUGACGAAGGUUCAGCUGCUCGAUCUCCGUGAUGAUGUCCCAUUGAACCGGCGCCACGAGCAAGCUUUCCGGGAUAAUGUUAUCCCUUGCAGUGGGUGGAACUCCCUCGGUCUGGCGAGAGAGGGCGUCGGCCUUCGUAUUCUUGGAGCCUGGUCGAUAGGUUACCGUGAACUGGAAUCUCGUGAAGAAGAGGGCCCAUCUGGCUUGCCGGGGUUCCAAACGUUUAGCGGAGCGAAGGUAUUCGAGAUUCUUGUGAUCGGUUAGAAUGAUGAAUGGCUGGUUCGCUCCCUCCAACCAGUGCCGCCACUCCUCGAGUGCCAGUUUCAUGGCCAGUAACUCACGAUUGCCCACAUCGUAGUUACGUUCGGCUGGGGUUAGUUUGCGAGAGAAGUAGGCGCAUGGGAACAUCCUGGCGGGUGUGCCUUGACGCUGGGAGAGAAUGGCCCCUACUCCGGUGUUGGAGGCGUCGACCUCCACUAUGAAUUGGAGCUCGGGGUUGGGGUGUCGCAGGAGGGGUGCUGAGGUGAACCGUGACCGUAGCUCGUCGAAGGCGUGUUGUGCCUCCUGGGACCAGUUGAUGCGGUGCG